UUCUCCUCAGGGUAAUUGUGGCGGGACCUCAGGCGAGAAUCGGCUGAGGCGAGGCGUUUUUCCUUUCUUUCUCCCUUUGUUUUUGCUUUUUUUUAUUUCACGGAUGUUUUCCCCAUUGUGGUUCGAAUUAAGUCACAUAAAUUAAAUAUUAAACGCACAUCAGAAAAAUAUUCAUUUAAAGGUUCACAUUAAUAUCCUUGUCACAUCGCUGGAGCAACGACAGAAAUCUGAGGAAACAGACAAACCAGGACAGAAUGUAAAUAAGAUCCUGGGGAAUGUACUGGGAGAACGGCAUCACGGGGUGAACACCGGCAGCCGGGGUCGCCAUCCAUCACAGCGACUUGGGCCCGGUGCGGUGGACAAGCUCAGCGCAGGCCAAGAAACCUGAGCCACUACAAGACAAACACAUGCUCCCUCCAAAAUAACAAUGGGCUCCAGUGACACACGCUGUCAGAGCUUCACUGCAGGCUCACGACACCUGACAUUGUUAUAUUAAGCGUAUAGUGUUACCAGACCCACAGUUAGAACAGACGAAAGAACAAAUGCCAAAGAUAAUCGCAAGUGGCAACUUUAGGACACAAUACUCUGGUCUUUUUAGGCAUUAGGCUUGCGAUACAGAAACUUAGAAGAGUUACAAAUAAGGACAUUGAGAGCAGUCUAAAUAUAGGUCAGUUUGGGUGACAAGGCACUGAAUAUUUUACACUUCACCUUAUUUAGCCUUUAUGAAAUAUGACGUAAAGGAUACUGUUGUGAAUAAAAAGUCUCUUUGGUGAGGACAUUUUUUUGCCUGUCGAUUACAAGACCACAGACCGAUGUAAAUGUGUCCGUCCAGUGCUAGAUGAGUUCAUUUUGACACAUCACAAACCCUCAGAUGAACACAUCCAUACCCAGUGCUGGGUAGUAACUGAUUAAUCUACCUGAUCCAAAAAUGAAAUACUAGUUGUAAUUGGAUUAUAUUA
Megalobrama amblycephala (Wuchang bream) is the source of this 959-nucleotide long non-coding RNA. RefSeq lists it as uncharacterized. Lineage: Eukaryota; Metazoa; Chordata; Actinopteri; Cypriniformes; Xenocyprididae. The transcript has 3 exons. The record is from RefSeq and is a predicted model, not a curated record.